This 253-nucleotide ribosomal RNA is filed under the name uncultured bacterium. Its description in RNAcentral is "partial 16S ribosomal RNA". It matches the Rfam family "Bacterial small subunit ribosomal RNA", at positions 524 to 776 of the family's 1533-position model. The record is from RNAcentral.
UACGAGGGGGGCUAGCGUUGUUCGGAAUUACUGGGCGUAAAGCGUAUGCAGGCGGAUCGUUAAGUCGGGGGUGAAAUCCCGAGGCUCAACCUCGGAACUGCCUUUGAUACUGCAAAUCUCGAGUCCGGAAGAGGUGAGUGGAAUUCCUAGUGUAGAGGUGAAAUUCGUAGAUAUUAGGAAGAACACCAGUGGCGAAGGCGGCUCACUGGUCCGGUACUGACGCUGAGGUGCGAAAGCGUGGGGAGCAAACAGG